UUGACUGUGCAAAGGUAGCAUAAUCAAUUGGCUUUUAAUUAAAGUCUAGUAUGAACGAACGUAUGGGUAAUGACUGUCUAGGGAUGUUACUACAAAAUUAUCAAGUUGGUGCAAAUGCCAACAGAUCUAAAAAAGACGAGAAGACCCUAGAAACUUAUAGAUUAUUUUGCUGGGGCGGCAGAAUUGCAUAUAACCAAUUUUUUAUUUACGUGAAGCGAUGCAGAAAGAAAAAGUUACUCUAGGGAUAACAGCAUAAUUUUUAUAGUUUGUGACCUCGAUGUUGGACUAGGGAUAUUAUCCCUUAGAAGGGGAUAAUUAUGGCUCUGUUCGAGCUUCUUACNCCUACGUGAUCUGAG
RNAcentral lists this ribosomal RNA (356 nucleotides) under Codringtonia codringtonii. RNAcentral's name for it is "LSU rRNA". It matches the Rfam family "Bacterial large subunit ribosomal RNA", at positions 1942 to 2609 of the family's 2925-position model. The record is from RNAcentral. Lineage: Eukaryota; Metazoa; Mollusca; Gastropoda; Stylommatophora; Helicidae.